UGGGGAAUAUUGCGCAAUGGGCGAAAGCCUGACGCAGCGACGCCGCGUGAGGGAUGAAGGUUUUCGGAUCGUAAACCUCUGUCAGAAGGGAAGAAACCGCACUGUGCUAAUCAGCAGUGCCUUGACGGUACCUUCAAAGGAAGCACCGGCUAACUCCGUGCCAGCAGCCGCGGUAAUACGGAGGGUGCAAGCGUUAAUCGGAAUUACUGGGCGUAAAGCGCACGUAGGCUGCUUUGUAAGUCCGGGGUGAAAUCCCACGGCUCAACCGUGGAACUGCCUUUGAGACUGCUUAGCUUGAAUCCGGGAGAGGGUGGGGGAAUUCCAGGUGUAGGGGUGAAAUCCGUAGAUAUCUGGAGGAACAUCAGUGGCGAAGGCGGCCACCUGGACCGGUAUUGACGCUGGGGUGCGAAAGCGUGGGGAGCAAACAGG
Molecule: ribosomal RNA, 429 nt
Filed under: Fusobacteriota bacterium
Lineage: Bacteria; Fusobacteriati; Fusobacteriota
Description: Fusobacteria bacterium partial 16S ribosomal RNA
Rfam family: Bacterial small subunit ribosomal RNA
Source: RNAcentral